Molecule: ribosomal RNA, 253 nt
Filed under: uncultured bacterium
Lineage: Bacteria
Description: partial 16S ribosomal RNA
Rfam family: Bacterial small subunit ribosomal RNA
Source: RNAcentral
UACGGAGGGUGCGAGCGUUGUCCGGAAUCACUGGGCGUAAAGGGCGCGUAGGCGGCGCGGGAAGUCCAUGGUGAAAGCCCGAGGCUCAACUUCGGGUCGGCCAAGGAUACUCCCGGGCUCGAGCACUUUAGAGGCAGGUGGAAUUCCGGGUGUAGCGGUGGAAUGCGUAGAGAUCCGGAAGAACACCGGUGGCGAAGGCGGCCUGCUGGGCAGUAGCUGACGCUGAGGCGCGACAGCGUGGGGAGCAAACAGG